Molecule: non-coding RNA, 476 nt
Organism: Epinephelus lanceolatus (giant grouper)
Lineage: Eukaryota; Metazoa; Chordata; Actinopteri; Perciformes; Serranidae
Source: RefSeq, a predicted model, not a curated record
CAUUGUUUACAAUGUGCGCCGCUGGGGGCCGCUAAUGAGGUGGGCCGGUAUAAAAGCUGCAGUCCUCCCACUGGUUCUUCCUUUGCGCUCCUAUCGUCGCCUCUGCGUCACUUCCGGGUCGGAGGUCGUCUGGUCUGACAGGGCGACUGUCUGUGUGCUGCUCUGGCCCCCCUGUAUGCGCUGCUGCGUUUGUUGGCUGUGGUAAACGCUGGUGGCUGCAUGGAGCCCUCUCUCCCCCUCCCUCCUCUCGUGUGAGUGUGUGUGUGCCCGCGCUGCGGAAAAGGUAUGUUAUGUGUAUUGUAGCACGCACCGCAUCAUGUUCAGUGUAUUUAGCCAUGCUAAUAGCAUUUUUCUUGGUUAGGUGCUAACUGUAGCCAGCUUAUCGGGCCGCUGCUGCUUUGUCUCAGCUGCUGCUUUGUCUCCUGUUGUGUCUCCUGCUUGCCUCCAUCACAUCUGCCGUUUGUCUCUGCUGCUUG